AUAAGCAGCCAAAUCACCCUGCAACUCACAACUGGUGACCUACUGAAGCUAAGCAGGUGUGAGCCUGGUCAGUACCUGGAUGGGAGACCUCCUGGGAAAAACUAAGGUUGCUGCUGGAA
Molecule: ribosomal RNA, 119 nt
Organism: Lepisosteus oculatus (spotted gar)
Lineage: Eukaryota; Metazoa; Chordata; Actinopteri; Semionotiformes; Lepisosteidae
Source: Ensembl